GACGAACGCUGGCGGCGUGCCUAAUACAUGCAAGUCGAACGCUUCUUACUUAUCGAACUUCGGUUCACCAAGUAAGAAGAGUGGCGAACGGGUGAGUAACACGUGGGUAACCUGCCCAUCAGAGGGGGAUAACACUUGGAAACAGGUGCUAAUACCGCAUAAUUCUCUUUGUCGCAUGAUAGAAAGAUGAAAGGCGCUUUUGCGUCACUGAUGGAUGGACCCGCGGUGCAUUAGCUAGUUGGUAGGGUAAUGGCUUACCAAGGCAACGAUGCAUAGCCGACCUGAGAGGGUGAUCGGCCACACUGGGACUGAGACACGGCCCAGACUCCUACGGGAGGCAGCAGUAGGGAAUCUUCGGCAAUGGACGAAAGUCUGACCGAGCAACGCCGCGUGAGUGAAGAAGGUUUUCGGAUCGUAAAACUCUGUUGUUAGAGAAGAACAAGGAUGAGAGUAAAAUGUUCAUCCCUUGACGGUAUCUAACCAGAAAGCCACGGCUAACUACGUGCCAGCCGCCGCCGUAA
This 521-nucleotide ribosomal RNA is filed under the name uncultured bacterium. RNAcentral's name for it is "partial 16S ribosomal RNA". It matches the Rfam family "Bacterial small subunit ribosomal RNA", at positions 28 to 523 of the family's 1533-position model. The record is from RNAcentral.